GACACAAUGUCCGAGUGGUUAAGGAGACAGACUUGAAUUACUCAAUAUUCAGGGCCAUCUGUUGGGUUCGCCCGCGCAAGUUCGAAUCUUGUUUGUGUCG
This is a non-coding RNA of Lasiosphaeria ovina, 100 nucleotides long. Lineage: Eukaryota; Fungi; Ascomycota; Sordariomycetes; Sordariales; Lasiosphaeriaceae. The record is from the annotation of a GenBank genome assembly.